This 393-nucleotide RNase P RNA is filed under the name Pseudoxanthomonas sp. SGD-10. RNAcentral's name for it is "RNase P RNA component class A". It matches the Rfam family "Bacterial RNase P class A". From Rfam's summary of the family: Ribonuclease P (RNase P) is a ubiquitous endoribonuclease, found in archaea, bacteria and eukarya as well as chloroplasts and mitochondria. Its best characterised activity is the generation of mature 5'-ends of tRNAs by cleaving the 5'-leader elements of precursor-tRNAs. Lineage: Bacteria; Pseudomonadati; Pseudomonadota; Gammaproteobacteria; Lysobacterales; Lysobacteraceae. The record is from RNAcentral.
AGAGCAAAUGGCUCUAUCGCUAUCCCAAUUAUAGGGAUGGAGGAAAGUCCGGGCAACACAGGGCAUCCUGCUUCCUAACAGGAAGGCACCUUGUAAUAAGGGUGACAGAAAGUGCUACAGAAAACAAACUACCCCGAUAUUUUAUCGGGGAAAAGGUGAAAACGUGAGGUAAGAGCUCACGACUUUGUGUGGUGACAUACAUCGUGGUAAACCUCAGGAGUUGAAAGACCAAAUAAAUCCCGAACGCCGGAGCUGCCCGCUUCGCUGUUGCAGAAACUAUCGGGAAGGGUGGGUCGUUAAGAUCAUGACAGCAAUGUUAUGGCAAGAUAAAUGAUAGAGGAUACCUGUAGAAAUACAGGAUCACAGAACCCGGCUUAUAAAUUUGCAUUUAUU